GCCAAAGUGGCGGAAUGGCAGACGCGCUGGACUCAAAAUCCUGUGUCCUUAACGGACGUGUGGGUUCGACUCCCACCUUUGGUA
RNAcentral lists this transfer RNA (84 nucleotides) under Planctomycetota bacterium. RNAcentral describes it as "tRNA-Leu". It matches the Rfam family "tRNA". Rfam says of the family: Transfer RNA (tRNA) molecules are approximately 80 nucleotides in length. Their secondary structure includes four short double-helical elements and three loops (D, anti-codon, and T loops). The record is from RNAcentral. Lineage: Bacteria; Pseudomonadati; Planctomycetota.